UUUAAUUCUUGCCAGAGGACGUUCUAUGGAUCGACUGCGAAUUGAAGUUACUAUCGUCUUCCUAAGCUCUGAGGAAUAGCAAGAAGUCUGUUCGGGAAGGGAGCUGACACAGCCAAGGCCCAGCCUCACUGCCAGGCUGCCAGGCUCCAACCGUCCACUCUACACUGAGAAGGGACCUGAAAAAAUCGCCACAGGAGAAGAGACCAGGGUGCCACAGGGAACCCACACAUCUACUCGGAGAAACGCCUGAGAUGAUCAGUUCAGAAGGAAGACUGAGUUCUUUGUUUGGACUCACGGUCUCGGGAGGUUUCCAUUCCAUGGAUUCUGAGCCUCUGAGAACACAAAGCUUUCUGGCAGGGGAGCAAGUACCUUCUCAGCUCAUCACGGUGGUCUGGAAGCAACUAGUGCUGGUAGCACAGCCCCUCCUUGAAAAACCAUGCAUCUAUGAACCCAGUUGGAGUAUGUGGUGACUUGUGCUCACUGCUGGGAGCAUGUGGCUGUUAACAUCUGGCUGAGCCAUUGAUUGUAUCGGAGCUUACAGGAUCCAUUCACUUCCCAAAGGUCCCCACUUCUAGACACAUAAACUUGGGGGGGUUAAAAAGUCAAAGCCUAGACGCAAGUAUGAGGGGCCCUUCAUUCUUAAUGUGCUUUUGUGACGUGUCUCAGAACCUACAGUCUCUCUUCCUACACAAUACCAUUGUAUAGGAAUCACCAGGCAGUUCUGGGGUAGCCUGGAAAAUUUAUCCAACGGUCAAUGGAUGGAGAAGGACUCAGACUCUAAACACAACCUCCCUCAGAGGUCUAGGAUGGGAUUUUUGCUAUGAGUAGGAUGUGAGGGGUGUAGUACCCAUGUUGUUCUUAGAAAUUUUCAUGGAGAAAGUUUCCCAGGGAUCAGGGAACCACUUCUUUUUUUCCCCAAUUCUGGGCAUGGUCAAAUCUGUUAUACCAGGGGCUGUGUUUUGUAUAGUUACAGUUUUAACUGCAAUGAGCACAAGACUGUGUGCAGCAUUGGCAGAGCACCUAAGUCAGAUGAAAGUGAUCUGGUUUCACCUGGGUAGUUGGCGUAUGUGAUAACUCAGAGGUCAUUGAUGGGAAUAUGUAGCUGUUAGCACUGGCUUUAACUUUUUCCAGCAAGCAGUAUAACUGACACAACAGCAGGCCAUCAAUAGUUUCCAGGUUCGGUCUGGUGUCAGAGUCAAAUUGUGGCUUAAAGCUAGUGCUUGUUUCAAUGAAUGUCGCUUGAAUUAGACCAGAUUUCUAUCCCGAUACUGGGACUUGCUCCCAAGCUAGAAGUGUACAGGUGAAAGCAUUGGAUUUAGAAUCGGAUGAUUCUGCUGAAAACUCUCAAGUACACCUAAGAUGCUCUGGGCACAGAGGAAUGUUAGGAAGAGCCAUGGAAGGCAAAUAAGAGUUAGUAUCACAUGCACAUGCACACGUUACCCAUACCAAUAUAUUGAGAAGGCUGGGGGUGUAGGUAAGGGAUCGCAUGAAAAAGUCUAUAUGAUGAGAUAAGAGGUUUGGAGUUGUUGGCAUGGAGAAUCUAUUACUGCAUGUCUAAGUAAAAAAGAAACAUACAGUCAAAGAUUAGUUGAGGGGCUGGAGAGAUGGCUCAGUGGUUAAGACCCCUGACUGCUCUUCCAGAGGUCCUGAGUUCAAUU
Molecule: long non-coding RNA, 1658 nt
Organism: Mus musculus (house mouse)
Lineage: Eukaryota; Metazoa; Chordata; Mammalia; Rodentia; Muridae
Product: predicted gene, 32389
Exons: 3
Source: RefSeq, a predicted model, not a curated record